RNAcentral lists this ribosomal RNA (427 nucleotides) under uncultured beta proteobacterium. RNAcentral describes it as "bacterial SSU rRNA". It matches the Rfam family "Bacterial small subunit ribosomal RNA", at positions 355 to 774 of the family's 1533-position model. The record is from RNAcentral. Lineage: Bacteria; Pseudomonadati; Pseudomonadota; Betaproteobacteria.
UGGGGAAUAUUGGACAAUGGGGGCAACCCUGAUCCAGCCAUGCCGCGUGAGUGAAGAAGGCCUUCGGGUUGUAAAGCUCUUUUAGUCGGAAAGAAAAGAUCAUAAUGAACAAUUAUGAUUCAUGACGGUACCGACAGAAAAAGCACCGGCUAACUACGUGCCAGCAGCCGCGGUAAUACGUAGGGUGCGAGCGUUAAUCGGAAUUACUGGGCGUAAAGGGUGCGCAGGCGGUUUUGUAAGUCAGAUGUGAAAUCCCCGGGCUUAACCUGGGAAUUGCGUUUGAAACUGCAAGACUAGAGUGCAGCAGAGGGGAGUGGAAUUCCAUGUGUAGCAGUGAAAUGCGUAGAGAUGUGGAAGAACACCGAUGGCGAAGGCAGCUCCCUGGGUUGACACUGACGCUCAUGCACGAAAGCGUGGGGAGCAAACA